This 88-nucleotide transfer RNA is filed under the name Acidimicrobiia bacterium. RNAcentral's name for it is "tRNA-Ser". Lineage: Bacteria; Bacillati; Actinomycetota; Acidimicrobiia. The record is from RNAcentral.
GGGUUUCUUGCCAAUUGGCCGGUGAUCGCAAGAUCGUCGAUCUGCUUUCACACGGCAGAGGUCACUGGUUCGAUCCCAGUAGCGCCCA